RNAcentral lists this long non-coding RNA (131 nucleotides) under Fukomys damarensis (Damara mole-rat). RNAcentral's name for it is "lncRNA (ENSFDAG00000032509.1)". The record is from RNAcentral. Lineage: Eukaryota; Metazoa; Chordata; Mammalia; Rodentia; Bathyergidae.
AGGCAAAUUCUCUCUUUCUUUACAGAAUCUACGUAUAGUUGACAAUAGACAAUGCCUAACAAAGAAAUCAUCUUUCCCCUCAAAACCCAGCGUGGACAAUCAGGACCUUAGCACCACCAGUCAUGCUCACG